RNAcentral lists this ribosomal RNA (483 nucleotides) under uncultured bacterium. Its description in RNAcentral is "partial 16S ribosomal RNA". It matches the Rfam family "Bacterial small subunit ribosomal RNA", at positions 30 to 506 of the family's 1533-position model. The record is from RNAcentral.
AUUGAACGCUGGCGGCAGGCCUAACACAUGCAAGUCGAGCGGAUGAAGGGAGCUUGCUCCUGGAUUCAGCGGCGGACGGGUGAGUAAUGCCUAGGAAUCUGCCUGGUAGUGGGGGAUAACGUCCGGAAACGGGCGCUAAUACCGCAUACGUCCUGAGGGAGAAAGUGGGGGAUCUUCGGACCUCACGCUAUCAGAUGAGCCUAGGUCGGAUUAGCUAGUUGGUGGGGUAAAGGCCUACCAAGGCGACGAUCCGUAACUGGUCUGAGAGGAUGAUCAGUCACACUGGAACUGAGACACGGUCCAGACUCCUACGGGAGGCAGCAGUAGGGAAUAUUGGACAAUGGGCGAAAGCCUGAUCCAGCCAUGCCGCGUGUGUGAAGAAGGUCUUCGGAUUGUAAAGCACUUUAAGUUGGGAGGAAGGGCAGUAAGUUAAUACCUUGCUGUUUUGACGUUACCAACAGAAUAAGCACCGGCUAACUUCGU